This is a non-coding RNA of Podarcis lilfordi (Lilford's wall lizard), 76 nucleotides long. The record is from the annotation of a GenBank genome assembly. NCBI's taxonomy places the organism in Eukaryota, Metazoa, Chordata, Lepidosauria, Squamata, Lacertidae.
CAGUCAGGAUAGCUCAGUUGGUAGAGCAUGAAACUUUUAAAUCUCAGGGUUUAGGUACAAGCCCCAUAUUGGGUGA